RNAcentral lists this ribosomal RNA (502 nucleotides) under uncultured bacterium. RNAcentral describes it as "bacterial SSU rRNA". It matches the Rfam family "Bacterial small subunit ribosomal RNA", at positions 49 to 507 of the family's 1533-position model. The record is from RNAcentral.
UAAGACAUGCAAGUCGAACGAAGCGGCCCGAUGACAUGGAGUGCUUGCACAAAGUAGAUUCGGAUUUCCGCUUAGUGCGCAAGGGUNAGUAACACGUGGAUAAUCUACCUCAGAGACUGGGAUAACAGUUGGAAACGAUUGCUAAUACCAGAUGAUAUGUAAGAAGAUACGUUUUCUUAAAUUAAAGGAGCCUUUAAAGCUUCGCUUUGAGAUGAGCCUGCGGCGUAUUAGCUAGUUGGUAGGGUAAUGGCCUACCAAGGCAACGAUGCGUAGCCGACCUGAGAGGGUGAUCGGCCACAUUGGGACUGAGACACGGCCCAAACUCCUACGGGAGACAGCAGUUAGGGAUAUUCGUCAAUGGGGGGAACCCUGAACGAGCAAUGCCGCGUGAGUGAUGACGGUCCUUUGGAUUGUAAAACUCUGUUGUUAGGGAAGAACGACCUGUAUAGGAAAUGAUACAGGAGUGACGGUACCUUUCAAGAAAGCUCCGGCUAACUACGUG